RNAcentral lists this ribosomal RNA (395 nucleotides) under uncultured bacterium. RNAcentral's name for it is "bacterial SSU rRNA". It matches the Rfam family "Bacterial small subunit ribosomal RNA", at positions 30 to 428 of the family's 1533-position model. The record is from RNAcentral.
AUUGAACGCUGGCGGCAUGCCUUACACAUACAAGUCGAACGGCAGCACGGACUUCGGUCUGGUGGCGAGUGGCGAACGGGUGAGUAAUGUAUCGGAACGUACCUUUCAGUGGGGGAUAACGUAGCGAAAGUUACGCUAAUACCGCAUAUUCUGUGAGCAGGAAAGCAGGGGAUCGCAAGACCUUGCGCUGAUUGAGCGGCCGAUAUCAGAUUAGCUAGUUGGUGGGGUAAAGGCCUACCAAGGCUACGAUCUGUAGCGGGUCUGAGAGGAUGAUCGCCACACUGGAACUGAGACACGGUCCAGACUCCUACGGGAGGCAGCAGUGGGAAUUUUGGACAAGUGGGGGCAACCCUGAUCCAGCCAUGCCGCGUGAGUGAAGAAGGCCUCGGUUGUAA